UUUAAGAGUUCUGAAAGUGGUGUUUAACAACAACUAUCUAUCAAUCAAGUGCCUAUAACUGGUCAUAUGAUAAAUUGUAUGUAUCUAUUUUUUGGACGUAAGAGUCUUGAUUGUAAUUUUUGCCAUGUUUCAAUGUUUUAUAUAUACUUAUUGCCAUUCCAUGAUAAAACUUGUAGUUAAGGAAAAUAUUUUAACAAAGCUAUGUUGUAUUACAUUUCUUAGAGUCAGAUCCAACAAUUCAUUCUGAAAAAAUUGAGAAAUUAUUUUUUUCAGGGGUGUCUGAUUUAUAGUACUUUUUUGUACAUUAUUGUGUAAUGUAGAAAUUAUAGAAAUAAAUGCAAAUUUCUUUGAAACUUGUUAAUGUCCACAUUAAAAUUAUACUCAAUGUGUAGUGUUUCUUUCACCUUAAAAAUAUUAAAAGCUUAAACAUUUUUAUAAAAUCAGAAAAACUGUUAUUUAUAACUUUAGAUAAAGAGUACAGUGUUCCCCCCAGAAAUUUCAAAUUGCACCAUGAAAAUUAACAAAGUACUAGUUUUCCAAAUAAUCUAGCACCAUAUGCAUGGUCCCUAUACAUUCUAUUCAAAAAUCAUACAAGAUAGCACCAUGGUGGAAAAUAUAGUACCAGGGUACCAGAGUGAUGUAAGGCACUGGGAGAUCACUGUUUAAAGAGUUUAAGUUUAUUAAUUCAUGUUUACUUUAAAUUCAUCAGAAAUUACAUGCUAUUAGGAUUUGUUUCAUCGAAUACAUUAUGACUUCAUUGUAAAUGUACGAGGCAAUCCAAAUUCAUUAAAGGGGGCUGAGGAGUCCUGUUCCAGUUAUGCUUCAGUGAUUCCCUAAAAAUCAACCAAGUGUUUCCCAAAGAGAAGGGAGGGUUAGGGUCCACCCUCCCCCUUAAUCUGCUUCUGCUUAUCAAUCUUCCCCAGGCCACACUUAAAAAUAUUUUGGUUUGCCCAAACCCUACCCAAAGGUUAAGACAGUGGGUAGGUAGGUAGGCAUUUUCUUUUUUUUUCAGAAAAAAGAAAUUGAAGUAUCAGAUGUUUAUUAGUCUUCAUGCCUAUUUGAUUAAAAAAAAACUUCUUCAAAUCAGGACAAUAAAAGAAUUUGAGUAGGCAGCUUUUUUCUGGGUAGGUAGCGUUUGGGCAAACAAACCUAUUAUUUAUUAUGGCCCCAGCUGAAAUUUUUAUCUGAGCAUUCAAUUGCUUGUACAUACAACCAGUUUUAAUAAUCUGAAGGGGCUCAGAAAAUGGGAUAUUUUUUUCAGAAUGUGGAUACUUAAAACCUUUAGUCCAGAGAGACUUGUCAAUUUAAUAAGAAAGUCUUCACAUAGAUCAAAACAUACAUUAGCCAUUAAGUCAGUAUCAUGAGAUUACAUAAAAACUUUGAUACAAUGGAUGACAAAAGAUAUUAUAGAGUUACUUCCCUUGGCAUGUUACAUUGGAGUUACUUCCCUUGGCAUGUUACAUUGGAGUUGCUUCCCUUGGCAUGUUACAUUGGAGUUACUUCCCUUGGCAUGUUACAUUGGAGUUACUUCCCUUGGCAUGUUACAUUGUUUGUAUGCCUUACUUGAAUUGAUAAUUGUAUUUAUUUAGUUAAGUUAUAAACAAACUACUUUAUUGUUAUUGGAAUAAAUUUAACUAUUGG
Molecule: long non-coding RNA, 1641 nt
Filed under: Mytilus galloprovincialis (Mediterranean mussel)
Lineage: Eukaryota; Metazoa; Mollusca; Bivalvia; Mytilida; Mytilidae
Source: RNAcentral